AUCACAUGCAAACAGGCUUCGCUCGUUCUAUUGCGGGCCACCGAGUCAGAGCGGAUGCGCCGACAAUGAUCGGCCCCAAGGCCGACUCGUCGCGGAGGCGACGGAAAAACAACGCGCUUGUCCGGCCGGCCGUGACCUCGCAUGCCGAGGAACAAAUUCGGUGGAUGAUGAAGGCAUUGGAGGGCUGAAGUGGGACCACAAUGACGAGACAACAGAUUUUGCAGACGUCAAGGCACCGCCUGCGUGAGCCAAUAGGCAACAUUAAAACAACCAAGCAAAUUAAAAUUGAACUGGCAUCACUGA
This is a long non-coding RNA of Rhipicephalus microplus (southern cattle tick), 303 nucleotides long. Lineage: Eukaryota; Metazoa; Arthropoda; Arachnida; Ixodida; Ixodidae. The record is from RefSeq and is a predicted model, not a curated record.